GGGUUAGUAGCUCAAUUGGUAGAGCAGCGGACUCUUAAUCCGGAGGUUCGGGGUUCGAGUCCCCGCUGACCCAC
This 74-nucleotide transfer RNA is filed under the name Deltaproteobacteria bacterium ADurb.Bin207. RNAcentral's name for it is "tRNA-Lys". It matches the Rfam family "tRNA". Rfam says of the family: Transfer RNA (tRNA) molecules are approximately 80 nucleotides in length. Their secondary structure includes four short double-helical elements and three loops (D, anti-codon, and T loops). Lineage: Bacteria; Deltaproteobacteria. The record is from RNAcentral.